This 794-nucleotide ribosomal RNA is filed under the name uncultured bacterium. Its description in RNAcentral is "bacterial SSU rRNA". It matches the Rfam family "Bacterial small subunit ribosomal RNA", at positions 1 to 807 of the family's 1533-position model. The record is from RNAcentral.
UCGCCCUUAGAGUUUGAUCCUGGCUCAAGACGACCUCUGGCGGCGCGCCUAACACAUGCAAGUCGAACGAGCGAGAGAGAGCUUGCUUUCUUGAGCGAGUGGCGAACGGGUGAGUAACGCGUGAGGAACCUGCCUCAAAGAGGGGGACAACAGUUGGAAACGACUGCUAAUACCGCAUAAGCCCACGGCUCGGCAUCGAGCAGAGGGAAAAGGAGCAAUCCGCUUUGAGAUGGCCUCGCGUCUGAUUAGCUAGUUGGUGAGGUAACGGCCCACCAAGGCGACGAUCGGUAGCCGGACUGAGAGGUUGAACGGCCACAUUGGGACUGAGACACGGCCCAGACUCCUACGGGAGGCAGCAGUGGGGAAUAUUGCACAAUGGGGGAAACCCUGAUGCAGCGACGCCGCGUGGAGGAAGAAGGUCUUCGGAUUGUAAACUCCUGUUGUUGAGGAAGAUAAUGACGGUACUCAACAAGGAAGUGACGGCUAACUACGUGCCAGCAGCCGCGGUAAAACGUAGGUCACAAGCGUUGUCCGGAAUUACUGGGUGUAAAGGGAGCGCAGGCGGGAAGACAAGUUGGAAGUGAAAUCCAUGGGCUCAACCCAUGAACUGCUUUCAAAACUGUUUUUCUUGAGUAGUGCAGAGGUAGGCGGAAUUCCCGGUGUAGCGGUGGAAUGCGUAGAUAUCGGGAGGAACACCAGUGGCGAAGGCGGCCUACUGGGCACCAACUGACGCUGAGGCUCGAAAGUGUGGGUAGCAAACAGGAUUAGAUACCCUGGUAGUCCACACUGUAAAC